UGUUGCAUUAGUAACACUCUUUUUCGGUAGUGUUUAUAUCAAAACACAUUCAUAUUCUACUAAAACAAAAAACAUUUCAACUCUUUUAACACACACACACACUCUCUCUCUCUCUCUCUCCAUGUGUUCCAGCUAACCAGAAGCAAACGUUCGAACAUGGCCGCAAAGCUAAAUGUGCGAUUCCAAUCACAGGGUUGAAGAAAUGGAUAUUAGUUCCUCGAUGAUACAGAAGUCGGUCAGUUUCCCGUCACACACAACCAAACUAUUGCUGCUUCAGCUCCGACAGUGGGUGGCUAUUAGAGCUAUUAGAAACCUGUAAUAGUGCAAAAGCAGACUUAAAGGAUACUGCUACUAGAGUUAUUGCCGAGGGUCUGUGACCGGAUCAGACAAUGGUGUCAAAAGUAAUGACCCGAAUCCUUUAUUUGUGACAUCAAAUACGUUGGCUAUUGAUGCUCUUCAAAAGAUGGUCUAAGAACAAAAAGUUGAAUACUAUAAAAGGAUGUGAGAAGAUUUGAAGAAGAAAGAAAGGAAAAGACAUGGGAAGACGGGGGAUAUAGACUACAAUUAUACCUGUGACUAUGUUAUAAUUAUAGAGUACAUGGUACAUUGGAUGAAAACUUGUAAUCGUUUUAGUAUGUAAUUCAAAAUGUGUUGCAUAGUGCAUAGUUCAUUUUCAUUAUGCAAGACAGGGGAAAUUUUAUAGAGUAUGUAAUUCAAAUUGGUUAUUAAAACUUGUCUCUAAUAUGUUAA
This is a long non-coding RNA of Medicago truncatula (barrel medic), 750 nucleotides long. RefSeq lists it as uncharacterized. The transcript has 4 exons. Lineage: Eukaryota; Viridiplantae; Streptophyta; Magnoliopsida; Fabales; Fabaceae. The record is from RefSeq and is a predicted model, not a curated record.